Molecule: non-coding RNA, 73 nt
Organism: Aromia moschata
Lineage: Eukaryota; Metazoa; Arthropoda; Insecta; Coleoptera; Cerambycidae
Source: the annotation of a GenBank genome assembly
GCUCGGCUAGCCCAGUCAGUAGAACAUGAGCCUCUUAAUCUCAGGUUCGUGGGUUCGGGCCCCACGUAGGGCG